UGCUCUAUAUUUAACAAACUACUUUGUCUAUGCUGCAAAUGAAUGUUACUCCAACCCCUUCUUUUCUUUCAAACACACAUUGCAUAUCAUCUUCACUUAUACAUGUCUAGCUUCUGUUAUAAUCUUUUUUUUUCUUUUGAAGGUCAAUUGAACUUGAUCAUCUUUCUGAUCCUUCUUAACCAUGUGUGAGAUCUUUUUGUCAGCUAAAACUUCAAAAUUAUAGUUGCAUACCUUUAACAGCAAAAUAUGAAACAGGAGUCUGUCCAAAUGGGUAUCCCAAGAAAACUGAUGGGCUGGAUGGCAUUAAUAGUCUGGACAAAACAGGUCCAAGUAUGGCGACGAGGAACCACCCAAGGAGGCAAUAUUGUUGAGGGCUUUUAGAUUACCAAUGGGAUCUGUGGACGUUCUGUUAACAGGUCUAGGAGACGGCUUUUUACAGCAUUCAAGACACCUCUUGUCUCUGCAAAUUACUGCAUAGAAAAUGUUUCCCCACCCCUUUCAUAUUCACAUACAUGUAAGAAGUACAUUGUUAAUUUCAUUGAGUAAACAGUCUUGUCUUUAGUAACUCACAUUAAAAAACAUAAUUGCACGAUCAACAUUUAAUCUCAAAAUUAGCAAA
Long non-coding RNA from Dreissena polymorpha, 619 nucleotides. RefSeq lists it as uncharacterized. The transcript is spliced from 3 exons. Lineage: Eukaryota; Metazoa; Mollusca; Bivalvia; Myida; Dreissenidae. The record is from RefSeq and is a predicted model, not a curated record.